CUCGUCGGAUCAGCCCGCUCCCGGUAAAACGGGACGGCCCGCCAGAGGACCCCUAAACUCUGUUUCUAUAUGUAACUUCUGAGUAAAACCAUAAAUAAAUCAAAACUUUCAACAACGGAUCUCUUGGUUCUGGCAUCGAUGAAGAACGCAGCAAAAUGCGAUAAGUAAUGUGAAUUGCAGAAUUCAGUGAAUCAUCGAAUCUUUGAACGCACAUUGCGCCCGCCAGUAUUCUGGCGGGCAUGCCUGUUCGAGCGUCAUUUCAACCCUCAAGCCCCCGGGUUUGGUGUUGGGGAUCGGCGAGCCCUUGCGGCAAGCCGGCCCCGAAAUCUAGUGGCGGUCUCGCUGCAGCUUCCAUUGCGUAGUAGUAAAACCCUCGCAACUGGUACGCGGCGCGGCCAAGCCGUUAAACCCCCAACUUCUGAAUGUUGACCUCGGAUCAGGUAGGAAUACCCGCUGAACUUAAGCAUAU
This 469-nucleotide ribosomal RNA is filed under the name Fusarium proliferatum. Its description in RNAcentral is "eukaryotic LSU rRNA". The stretch from base 104 to 257 matches the Rfam family "5.8S ribosomal RNA". Lineage: Eukaryota; Fungi; Ascomycota; Sordariomycetes; Hypocreales; Nectriaceae. The record is from RNAcentral.